GAUGAACGCUGGCGGCGUGCUUAACACAUGCAAGUCGAACGAAGCAUUUAAGACAGAUUACUUCGGUUUGAAGUCUUUUAUGACUGAGUGGCGGACGGGUGAGUAACGCGUGGGUAACCUGCCUCAUACAGGGGGAUAGCAGCUGGAAACGGCUGGUAAUACCGCAUAAGCGCACAGUACCACAUGGUACAGUGUGAAAAACUCCGGUGGUAUGAGAUGGACCCGCGUCUGAUUAGCUUGUUGGCGGGGUAACGGCCCACCAAGGCGACGAUCAGUAGCCGACCUGAGAGGGUGACCGGCAACAUUGGGACUGAGACACGGCCCAGACUCCUACGGGAGGCAGCAGUGGGGAAUAUUGCACAAUGGAGGAAACUCUGAUGCAGCGACGCCGCGUGAGUGAAGAAGUAGUUCGCUAUGUAAAGCUCUAUCAGCAGGGAAGAUAGUGACGGUACCUGACUAAGAAGCUCCGGCUAAAUACGUG
Molecule: ribosomal RNA, 481 nt
Filed under: uncultured bacterium
Lineage: Bacteria
Description: partial 16S ribosomal RNA
Rfam family: Bacterial small subunit ribosomal RNA
Source: RNAcentral